This 957-nucleotide long non-coding RNA is filed under the name Equus caballus (horse). RNAcentral's name for it is "lncRNA (ENSECAG00000031713.3)". The record is from RNAcentral. Lineage: Eukaryota; Metazoa; Chordata; Mammalia; Perissodactyla; Equidae.
CUGGGAUAUGAGAAGCCGAGGAAAGCGUGUUCCCAAAGCUAUUUGUGACCACCCCUUCCUCUUCUCCCUAACAAGGAAACCCUGCCUGUGACGAGCUGUACAAGGCCUGGCUCAGCGGCUGGCGGGACAGCAACUGGAGACUUAGGAAGAAAAACAACUUCUAAACGUGGUGUUCGUGCAAGAAAGUAUCAGAAAGUGGAAAAUCUCUGAUCCACGCCAUCUGUUUGUCUCAUCCAGUGGUGCAUUCCAAUCUCUGCAACAGAAGAUUCAUGACAACCUGCCAAUAAAAUUCCUGAGAUUGUCAAAACGCAGAAUACUUCUGAAAAAGUUUAAGAUAAGAUUCUUUCAUGUUUAAAUUCCUCAUACACACCCUUUCUCUCAGAGCACAGCUGGCUUCAGUACCAGAUUUCAGGGUCCUGGCUCUGUCUUAGAGGAGUAGAAUCAUAUUCAGCAGAUCCUGCAUAUUCCUGGAAGGGGCUUUCUGACCACAUGAUCUUCAGGGUGACACAUGGACAAGAAACAGAUCUUCUUCUUCUUUCUACCCAGCAGCAAGGAGAACUCACCUUGCAGCCAAGAGGUAAAGCAGAGUCCAGACCAGCAAGUUGGCCCACACUGCCAGGAGAUUGGUUAGAUAUAAGGAGAUUGAACAAAAUCCACUAUCCUCCGUGGAGACAGACACCGUCAAGGACAAGCACCUGGAUCAUCUCCUCCCUGCAAAGAGAUACAGGCUGGUGGGAAAGCUGCUGACCAAAAAGGUCACAGGAUCCCUCCUCUCUGCAAGUGUCUCGAGGCCAAAGACAGGCUGGUGGGAAAACUCUGACCAGCAAGGCCAUAUGUUCCCCCUCCCCUACCUAAAACCCCAAAUAAAAACCCUUCCUUUUAGCUUUUCGGGGAGUUUGGGAUUUCAGCGUUAGCUGCCCUCUCUCCUUGCUCAGCGCUGUCCAAAAAUAAAAUUCC